RNAcentral lists this long non-coding RNA (1324 nucleotides) under Heterocephalus glaber (naked mole-rat). Its description in RNAcentral is "lncRNA (ENSHGLG00100040822.1)". The record is from RNAcentral. Lineage: Eukaryota; Metazoa; Chordata; Mammalia; Rodentia; Bathyergidae.
CAAUGAUUCAAAGAUUAACAAUAAACCUUGGCUACAGGUGGACCUAAAAAGUUCCAUUGCCUUACAGAGAGGGAAAGUCAGGGAAGAAGGCCACAGAAGCCAAGAGAAACAUGUGAGAUGAGGAUCUCAAGAAACCACUGGGUUCCUAGGCCUUACUCCCUGGGUCAUCCAUGCAAAGCUGACCCUGUAUGUCUGAGGGGACUUUCCUCAGUCUUUGGUGCUCGGAAGUUGGUCGGUACCAGGCAGAAGACAACACCAAUUGAGGAGAAUACUGAGCAGGAAGUGUCUGAGCUGCCCCGCAUCUAAUACUGGAGACACCUGUUGGGAAGAAAGCUGGAAUCCAUAGGCCUUUGGUUGCAAGAGGCAGCUGCAGAACAAAAAGGUUCUAACAAGGUGUAAGUGUGGGGCCAUCUUGUGUGCAGUGUAAGAGAUGCCAAUGGGACAAGACGGGACCCAGGAGGAAGAGAUGAAACCUGUGGCUUCUCAGUAGUAUUGAGAGGGUGGUAUGCCCUUCCAGAUCCCUCCAGUAAGACCCAAAUCCCUGCCUUAACAAAGGAACCAUGUUUGAAAGAAAAACUGAUAGGUACUGGAAAGAAGCACUGAAACAACUUCAACAUUUGCCAUGUUUCAAAUGAUGGACAAGAACUAAGCUGUGAUCUUCCAUAAUCUGAUCAAAAGGACUCCUCUCGAUGCCUCCAACCCUCCCAGUGGUCGUCCACCUUGAAAGGCUUUACAUCAAUUCCUAAGGGACAAGACUGACCUAGCCGCAACCACCCUCCCUCAAAAACCUAGGGCGGAGCAUCGCCCUCCGCUGCCAGGGAGGGGACCCGAGUGACGAGUGACGCACAGCCACAGACGGGGGUUCCCUGUCCGGCAGGACUCGCCCAGCGGUGAGAACCCGCGGCUCCAGCACGCCGGACACUCCGCCGAUAGGGCCCCAGCAGCAGUUUCCGGCUGGAGGUUUAAGGAGAGGGGCAGCGCUGGGCGAAUUCCCUUCCGCGAGGUCCGAAUUGGGACCCGUCGCCUGCCCCUGUUUCCCGACCUCACUCCCCACUCUGGCCCCUGCCCCACUAGCUCCUUCCCACCAGUUCCCCGGUGGGAACCGAGGGGCGCCUCCGAGGCGCAAGGAGACUGAGUGGAAUUGUGGAGGUGGCAGAGGGCCCCCUAUGAGGCGCCUCUGGUAUUCGGGGUCAAGGUAACCACGAGCUAACCCUAGCUUGAAGUUUGGGCAUCAAAGGUUUCAGACCAAGAACCAAGUUGGCUGGAAAAGCGAGCGGCCCGGGCGGGGGUCUAGGACAGGGGUGAUGGGAGAGGAAGACAAGAC